This 775-nucleotide ribosomal RNA is filed under the name uncultured Neocallimastigales. Its description in RNAcentral is "partial large subunit ribosomal RNA". It matches the Rfam family "Eukaryotic large subunit ribosomal RNA", at positions 22 to 639 of the family's 3401-position model. The record is from RNAcentral. Lineage: Eukaryota; Fungi; Neocallimastigomycota; Neocallimastigomycetes; Neocallimastigales.
GUACACGCUGUGACUAGCAUAUCAAUAAGCGGAGGAAAAGAAACUAACAAGGAUUCCCCUAGUAACGGCGAGUGAAGCGGGAAGAGCUCAAAUUUGAAAUCUUAAAGGGUUUCCCUUUACGAAUUGUAGUUUAAAGAAGUGUUUUCUGUUGAGGUUUUGGUAAAAGUUCUUUGGAAUAGGACAUCAUAGAGGGUGAGAAUCCCGUAUUUGACCUUUACUUUCAACUUUGUGAUACACUUUCAAAGAGUCGGAUUGUUUGGGAAUGCAGUCCAAAAUGGGUGGUAAAUUUCAUCUAAAGCUAAAUAUUGGCGAGAGACCGAUAGCGAACAAGUACCGUGAGGGAAAGAUGAAAAGAACUUUGAAAAGAGAGUUAAACAGGUACGUGAAAUUGUCAAAAGGGAAGCGUUUGACACCAGUGUUGUUUUUCUGAAAAUCAAUUAAAGAACUGUUUAUGCUAAGUUGUUCAGACUUUAUCAGCUAUCUGUUUAGUUUUGAGCUUUUCUUUAAUGCACUUUUCAGUUAACAAGUCAACAUCAAUUUCUUUUGCUGUAAAAAAGCUUGAGGAAGGUGGCUUGAGAUUCGUCUUAAGUGUUUAUAGCCUCUUGCCUAUGCAGUCGGAGAGAUUGAGGUCUGCAGCGUAGAUCCUUCGGGGCUAAAUGCAUUUGUGCUAAGUUAUAGCAUUUUAUAGACAACUUGUUGACUAUGAUUUGUCUUGUAGCUUACUCGCUUAUGUUAUUUUACCUACGCUUAGGAUGUUGACGCGCGUGUGUGCGUG